UAGCAAUAACGGAUGUAAAAGUAACAAAGGCUAAUGGAAAUUACUUCCAUUAAAGGGGUUAUCCACCAUAAGGGGCGUGGAAAAGGGGCAAAACCAUUGCAGAAGAAGAAAAAAAACAGGAAUGCCUGCAGCACUGACAUCUUGUCCACAACAGUGAACAAACAUGGCCGCAGGUGUGGACGACAGUCAAAAGCAGCCAGAAAAACUCAACUUCCUUCACAGAAAAGAGGAGUCAGUCCGUUUCGGCAGACAGAUAAGGCUUUGUAACAUUCCUGUCCCUCAGGAGAACCAAUGAAGUGAGCUGGAGCUCCCCCAUACUGCACUUGUCCUUCUCUGGCUGUGAGAGAAGAAAUAGGUUGUAAAAUUUGAAGGUGCUUUCAAGAAAGAAAGUUCUUCUGGAUGUCUGAUUCCUGGUAGAAUGGAAAAUGAAUGUUGUGCUCCUUCCAACCCAAAUAAUUUGUUAUGUAUCUGUUAUAAUGGACACUUACCCAGUAUCUUACAGACCUCA
Long non-coding RNA from Hyla sarda, 508 nucleotides. RefSeq lists it as uncharacterized. The transcript is spliced from 4 exons. NCBI's taxonomy places the organism in Eukaryota, Metazoa, Chordata, Amphibia, Anura, Hylidae. The record is from RefSeq and is a predicted model, not a curated record.